Molecule: non-coding RNA, 792 nt
Filed under: Pithemera bicincta
Lineage: Eukaryota; Metazoa; Annelida; Clitellata; Crassiclitellata; Megascolecidae
Source: RNAcentral
CAGUUUGAUUCUGACUGAAAUAUUAGCUUUAAACCUACCAAAAUACAUGUAAAACCAAUUAUGCCCGCACUAAUUAACAUCUAAAAGAACUAAUAAAUAUAUUAAGAACGGAACUAAAUAUACUAGAGCGCCACAGUAAAUAACACUUUUCAAUUUGAAAAUCAUGAAAAGAGUACGGUUAAAGGGCUGGCAAAAUUCGUGCCAGCUGCCGCGGUUAUACGAUAAGCCCAAGCUAACAAAAUAUAGACUAAAUUAAUGAUAAACUAAAUACAUUACAGAAGUCUAAUUCAUAAACCUCACGACCCACAUUUAUCGCAUAAAAAUGAAAUCAUGGCCUAAAACAUGGAUUAGAUACCCACCUAUUCAUGAUAUAAAGAAUAGUCAAGUAUUACGAACAACAGUUUAAAACUCAAAGAUUUUGGCGGUGUCUUAUAAAACCAGGGGAACCUGUCUCAUAACUCGAUAAUCCACGUGUACUCAACCGCCCCUAGAUACAUACAGCCUGUAUACUGCCGUUGUAAGUACACCUCUAAAAGAAUGAGUGUACAUCUAUGACUAAGCCCCAUAUACAUCAGGUCAAAGUGCAGCUUAUAGGGUGGCGAUGAUGGGUUACAACCCCAAUAAAGACUAUCAACUAAGGAAUAAAAAAAUCUUAUGAAAGUGGACUUGGCCGUAAUCAAGAACAAAAUAAAAAAAUGAAUAAUAAUCUAAGACAUGCACACAUCGCCCGUCACUCUAUCCUAAAGGCUAGACAAGUCGUAACAGAGUAGGUGUAGUGGAAACUGCACCUGU